RNAcentral lists this long non-coding RNA (340 nucleotides) under Pan paniscus (pygmy chimpanzee). RNAcentral describes it as "lncRNA (ENSPPAG00000044285.1)". The record is from RNAcentral. Lineage: Eukaryota; Metazoa; Chordata; Mammalia; Primates; Hominidae.
GCUGGUACCUAUCUUGGAGGUUGGCAGUAAGGAUUAAUUGAAGUAAAUUAUAUACAGAGGCUAUUACAGUGCCUGACAUUGCAGAAAAUACUAGUAAGUGAUGAAUCGAUGGAGCGAGAUGAGAGGAAGAAGAUGGAGAAGAGAAGAAGAAAGAGAGGACCACUUGUAAGCAGCCCCUGGAAGCAAAGCUUGCAGCUUUGAAACAGCCAUGUUAUCCACAGUGGUGAAGCAAUGUAGCUUCCUGGUCUCCAAAUCCAUGCAAAGCUAUAGAGCAAGCCCUUGGAGAGCCUUGAUGCUGAGCUGUCAGACAAUGCAGCAGGAAAUGAGUCCAUUCCUCCAG